UACGAAGGGGGCUAGCGUUGCUCGGAAUCACUGGGCGUAAAGGGCUCGUAGGCGGCCAACUAAGUCAUACGUGAAAUCCCUCGGCUUAACCGGGGAACUGCGUCUGAUACUGGAUGGCUUGAGUUCGGGAGAGGGAUGCGGAAUUCCAGGUGUAGCGGUGAAAUGCGUAGAUAUCUGGAGGAACACCGGUGGCGAAGGCGGCAUCCUGGACCGAUACUGACGCUGAGGAGCGAAAGCGUGGGGAGCAAACAGG
Molecule: ribosomal RNA, 253 nt
Filed under: uncultured bacterium
Lineage: Bacteria
Description: partial 16S ribosomal RNA
Rfam family: Bacterial small subunit ribosomal RNA
Source: RNAcentral